CAACCAACGAAAGGAGGUGAUCCAGUGUCUCUUACCAAGCGCUGUCACCUCGCUGGGAUCGCCCGCUAGGCUCUGCAAGGCCAACUAGCUUUGAAGGCUUGUAGGUUUUGAAGGUCUGGCAUCGGGGCGCUCUCAGCCCUGGACCAGCGAGCACAAAUAGUGGGGCGCGACGGGAGCAAUCCCGUCGCGCC
RNAcentral lists this unclassified non-coding RNA (191 nucleotides) under Bradyrhizobium lablabi. RNAcentral describes it as "caulobacter sRNA CC2171". The record is from RNAcentral. RNAcentral also lists the same sequence under 1 other name. Lineage: Bacteria; Pseudomonadati; Pseudomonadota; Alphaproteobacteria; Hyphomicrobiales; Nitrobacteraceae.